AUUGAACGCUGGCGGCAGGCCUAACACAUGCAAGUCGAACGGUAACAGCCAGCAGCUUGCUGCUUCGCUGAUGAGUGGCGGGCGGGUGAGUCAUGUCUGGGAAACUGCCUGCUGGAGGGUGAUAUCUACUGGAAACGGUAGCUAACACCUCAUAACUCCUCCUGACUAAAGGGGGUGGCCUUGGUUCCUCGUGUCGUCGUGUGCGCCCAGAUGGUAUUAGCUAGUAGGUGGUGUAACGGCACCACUAGGCGACCAUCUCUAGCUGGUCUGAGAGUAUGACCAGCCACACUGGAACUGAGACACGGACCAGACGCCUACGGGAGGCAGCAGUGGGGAAUAUUGCGCAAUGGGCGCGAGCCUGAUGCAGCCAUGCCGAGUGUAUGAAGACAGCCUUCGGGUUGUAAAGUACUUUCAGCGGGGGGGAAGGGAGUAAGGUUGAUACCUUGGGUCAUUGACGUUACCCGCAGAAGAAGCACCGGCUAACUCCGUG
This 490-nucleotide ribosomal RNA is filed under the name uncultured bacterium. RNAcentral's name for it is "partial 16S ribosomal RNA". It matches the Rfam family "Bacterial small subunit ribosomal RNA", at positions 30 to 507 of the family's 1533-position model. The record is from RNAcentral.